UAGCACCCUCCAGCCUGUGCCACCUGCUGGCACUUCAUGGGUGUUUCUGGCAACUGCAUGAGAUCGGCCGUGGUUCAGCAAAGGCUCCUCUUGCUAUCUGCCUCUGGUUAUGCUCAAGAAGGAACCUACGGCAUUACCCAUCCUGAGCUGAGAAGAGCGUCCCUGAAGGCAUUUCAUGGACUGUUUGAUACGGCUUAAUCUUCUAGAACCAGAGGCGCCAAAAGGCCCACCAACUUGCUUGGAAGCCUCUCCUCUACUCCAACAGCCAUCAUUUUUGCUCAGGAGCAUGGAAUCCCAUCUGAGGCUCCUACAGGAACACCACCAACCUCUACACGGCCUGCAGAGCCAGCCUGGCCUCAAGAGCAGGACACACCAGAAAACACCUGUUGAAUGGAUGCACCAGUGAACAGAGAUGGCCACCUCGCCAGAGCCACAAUCCAUGGGGACUGGAGACCAAAUGACGCUAAUGACUGCAGGGAAAUGAACAACUGAGAGGGGCUCCCUUUUAUCACUGGAGGGAAGCUGCUUGGUUCUAGUGAAUGGGAAGGAAUUGUAGGCAAAAACUCAGGGAGGAGACAGACAAGGAGAGCUUGGAAGGGGAACCUUACUAAUUAAGACAGAGAAAACAAAAUUUUGCUAAGCAUCAUUUCUGACUUACAACACAAAGUCAUUUUUCCUUUCUUCCUUGUCCCUCCUCCUUUG
This is a long non-coding RNA of Homo sapiens (human), 702 nucleotides long. RefSeq lists it as uncharacterized. The transcript has 3 exons. The record is from RefSeq and is a predicted model, not a curated record. Lineage: Eukaryota; Metazoa; Chordata; Mammalia; Primates; Hominidae.